RNAcentral lists this ribosomal RNA (253 nucleotides) under uncultured bacterium. Its description in RNAcentral is "partial 16S ribosomal RNA". It matches the Rfam family "Bacterial small subunit ribosomal RNA", at positions 524 to 776 of the family's 1533-position model. The record is from RNAcentral.
UACGGAGGGUGCGAGCGUUAAUCGGAAUUACUGGGCGUAAAGCGCACGCAGGCGGUUAGAUAAGUCGGAUGUGAAAGCCCUGGGCUUAACCUGGGAACUGCAUUCGAUACUGUCUAGCUAGAGUAUGGGAGAGGGAAGGGGAAUUUCCGGUGUAGCGGUGAAAUGCGUAGAUAUCGGAAGGAACACCGAUGGCGAAGGGAGCUCCCUGGCCCAAUACUGACGCGCAGGUGCGAAAGCGUGGGGAGCAAACAGG